Molecule: ribosomal RNA, 292 nt
Filed under: uncultured soil bacterium
Lineage: Bacteria
Description: partial 16S ribosomal RNA
Rfam family: Bacterial small subunit ribosomal RNA
Source: RNAcentral
AGAGUGAACGCUGGCGGCAGGCCUAACACAUGCAAGUCGAACGGCAGCACAGGGGAGCUUGCUCCCUGGGUGGCGAGUGGCGGACGGGUGAGGAAUACAUCGGAAUCUGCCCAAUCGUGGGGGAUAACGUAGGGAAACUUACGCUAAUACCGCAUACGACCUUCGGGUGAAAGCGUGGGACCGCAAGGCCACGCGCGAUUGGAUGAGCCGAUGUCGGAUUAGCUUGUUGGCGGGGUAAAAGCCCACCAAGGCGACGAUCCGUAGCUGGUCUGAGGAGGAUGAUCAGCCACAC